Long non-coding RNA from Ananas comosus (pineapple), 460 nucleotides. RefSeq lists it as uncharacterized. NCBI's taxonomy places the organism in Eukaryota, Viridiplantae, Streptophyta, Magnoliopsida, Poales, Bromeliaceae. The record is from RefSeq and is a predicted model, not a curated record. The transcript has 2 exons.
UGUUAUGCUUGGCUCUUUAAUUGUUCCGUAUUGCAUCUUAGUAUAGACUUUUUCUUUUUUAGUUCUGAGAUAUAUAUAUAUAUAUAUAUAUAUAUAUAUAUAUAUAUGUAAAUUUAUCCUGCAAGAUUUUCUAGUAUCUAUAUGUGUUGGAUAUCUGAAUUUCAUAUCUGAAACUUAAUCUCUUAUGCAUAGACCCCUUUAUUUACACAAGUGCCCAUUUCACAAAUAUUUUAAUAUGUUUGCAGCGACGAUAUUGCAGGUACGCAAAUGUAAAAGCCGCUUUUUCUUUAAAUCUCGAGCGAGCAUUUUUGAUCGUCCUUCUAGAAGCCCAUGAAGACAUUUGACCCUUGGCUGUGAUUCAUAGAUAUCUGGCUCAAUAUGAUCUCAUAUUUGUGGAUUGUACUUAAAACUUUUCAACAUCUGUAAACAACAAAAUUUACGAAAAUCAAUUGAUCGGAAA